Non-coding RNA from Obba rivulosa, 84 nucleotides. The record is from the annotation of a GenBank genome assembly. NCBI's taxonomy places the organism in Eukaryota, Fungi, Basidiomycota, Agaricomycetes, Polyporales, Gelatoporiaceae.
GCCCGCCUAGCUCAAUCGGAUAGAGCGUCAGACUCUUACUAGCGGGCGAUCUGAAGGCUGCGAGUUCGACCCUCGCGGUGGGCU